UUCAACGCCGGAAAACUCACCGGGAGCGACCUUUGGAUGAGAGUCAACCUGACGAGUUUACUCGAUAGAAGGAGAGGUGGUGCAUGGCCGUCGUCAGCUCGUACCGUAGGGCGUUCACUUAAGUGUGAUAACGAGCGAGACCCCCAUCUUUAAUUGCCAGGUUGUCCUAGCGGGCAACGGCACUUUAGAGGGACCACCAGCGCUAAGCUGGAGGAAGGAGGGGUCGACGGCAGGUCAGUACGCCCCGAAUCUCCCGGGCAACACGCGCGCUACAAAGGACAGGACAAUGAGAUGCGACCUCGAAAGGGGGAGCCAACCUCGAAACCUGUUCAUAGUUAGGAUUGAGGGCUGUAACUCGCCCUCAUGAAUGUGGAUUCCGUAGUAAUCGCGGGUCAACAGCCCGCGGUGAAUAUGCCCCUGCUCCUUGCACACACCGCCCGUCAAACCAUCCGAGCUGGUGUUGGAUGAGGGUAUGCUCGAAAGGGCAAACUCGAAUCUGAUGUCAGUGAGGAGGGU
This 516-nucleotide ribosomal RNA is filed under the name uncultured Thermoplasma sp. RNAcentral describes it as "bacterial SSU rRNA". It matches the Rfam family "Archaeal small subunit ribosomal RNA", at positions 911 to 1428 of the family's 1478-position model. The record is from RNAcentral. Lineage: Archaea; Methanobacteriati; Thermoplasmatota; Thermoplasmata; Thermoplasmatales; Thermoplasmataceae.